UGACUCAUCUGAAGCCUGAAGACACUAAGCAGAUGGCCCGAGCCACAGAGGAUUUCACAGAAGGGCCCGGAUGAGAAGAGGACAGAUGCAGGGUACUGAUCACUGCACUAGAAUAUGUGCAACCUUCCACGCUGCCUUGGGGAUUCUAUUCCUGCCUAUUGUCCUUGGCUUCUUCCCCUUGUCCACUUCUGAACCCAUAAGCACGAAUUUCCUCUCCUCUCCCCAUUCCUAAUUAUCCCCAUCUCACGUGGGUGGCAGAAAGUCUUCACAUUUUCCAGGCUUCAUGGCUUAGAACUCCUUAGGGAAUGGUACCAGUCUCUAUAUCCAGGAUAAGUAGGUAUGCAGUUAUUUUGUAAGACCAGGACAUUUGUGGAAGAGAGAAACCACGUGAGCAAAGGCAGGCAGGUGUGGAGUAUGCACACCAGUGAAUCUAAGACUGUGCAAACU
RNAcentral lists this long non-coding RNA (447 nucleotides) under Homo sapiens (human). Its description in RNAcentral is "long non-coding RNA NONHSAT161575". The record is from RNAcentral. Lineage: Eukaryota; Metazoa; Chordata; Mammalia; Primates; Hominidae.